RNAcentral lists this ribosomal RNA (516 nucleotides) under uncultured fungus. RNAcentral describes it as "SSU rRNA". It matches the Rfam family "Eukaryotic small subunit ribosomal RNA", at positions 209 to 725 of the family's 1831-position model. Lineage: Eukaryota; Fungi. The record is from RNAcentral.
AUUAGAUUAAAAACCAAUGCCCUUCGGGGCUCUCUGGUGAUUCAUGAUAACUUCUCGAAUCGCAUGGCCUUGCGCCGGCGAUGGUUCAUUCAAAUUUCUUCCCUAUCAACUUUCGAUGUUUGGGUAUUGGCCAAACAUGGUUGCAACGGGUAACGGAGGGUUAGGGCUCGACCCCGGAGAAGGAGCCUGAGAAACGGCUACUACAUCCAAGGAAGGCAGCAGGCGCGCAAAUCACCCAAUCCCGACUCGGGGAGGUAGUGACAAUAAAUACUGAUACAGGGUUCUUUCGGAUCUUGUAAUUGGAAUGAGUACAAUUUAAAUCCCUUAACGAGGAACAAUUGGAGGGCAAGUCUGGUGCCAGCAGCCGCGGUAAUUCCAGCUCCAAUAGCGUAUAUUAAAGUUGUUGUGGUUAAAAAGCUCGUAGUUGAACCUUGGGCCUGGCUGGCCGGUCCGCCUCACCGCGUGUACUGGUCCGGCCGGGCCUUUCCCUCUGUGGAACCUAUGCCCUUCACUGGG